RNAcentral lists this ribosomal RNA (1579 nucleotides) under metagenome. RNAcentral's name for it is "bacterial LSU rRNA". It matches the Rfam family "Bacterial large subunit ribosomal RNA", at positions 1422 to 2925 of the family's 2925-position model. The record is from RNAcentral.
AAAUCCAGUAGCGCUAAGAGUCCUAAUCCGGCAGAUGGAUCCCUUCGGGGUGAAGCAGCCGGCCUAACGCUCGACCCCAUUCUGGUGCGGUUAGCGUAUUAACAGGUGUGACGCAGGAAGGUAGCUGAACCAGGCGAUGGUUGUCCUGGUGUAAGGACGUAGGGCGAGAGAUAGGCAAAUCCGUCUCUCACAUAGCCUGAGAUCCGAUGCGUACCCCUCACGGGGGAAAUCAGUGAUCCUAUGCUGCCGAGAAAAGCAUCGACGCGAGGUUUUAGUCACCCGUACCCCAAACCGACUCAGGUGGGUAGGUAGAGAAUACCAAGGAGAUCGAGAGAACCGUGGUUAAGGAACUCGGCAAAAUGCCCCCGUAACUUCGGGAGAAGGGGGGCCGAAUUCGUGAAGGGACUUGCUCCCGGAGCGAUGAAGGCCGCAGAGACCAGUGGGAAGCGACUGUUUACUAAAAACACAGGUCCGUGCGAAGACGCAAGUCGAUGUAUACGGACUGACGCCUGCCCGGUGCUGGAAGGUUAAGAGGAAGGGUUAGCUUCGGCGAAGCUCUGAAUUUAAGCCCCAGUAAACGGCGGUGGUAACUAUAACCAUCCUAAGGUAGCGAAAUUCCUUGUCGGGUAAGUUCCGACCUGCACGAAUGGCGUAACGACUUCCCAGCUGUCUCAACCGCGAACUCGGCGAAAUUGCACUACGAGUAAAGAUGCUCGUUACGCGCAGCAGGACGGAAAGACCCCGUGACCUUUACUACAGCUUGGUAUUGGUGUUCGGUGUGGCUUGUGUAGGAUAGGUGGGAGACUUUGAAGCUGGCACGCUAGUGUCGGUGGAGUCGUUGUUGAAAUACCACUCUGGUCACUCUGGAUGUCUAACUACGAACCGUAAUCCGGUUCUGGAACAGUGCCUGGUGGGUAGUUUAACUGGGGCGGUUGCCUCCCAAAAAGUAACGGAGGCGCCCAAAGGUUCCCUCAACCUGGUUGGCAAUCAGGUGUCGAGUGUAAGUGCACAAGGGAGCUUGACUGUGAGAGUGACGGCUCGAGCAGGGACGAAAGUCGGGACUAGUGAUCCGGCAGUGGCUUGUGGAAGCGCUGUCGCUCAACGGAUAAAAGGUACCUCGGGGAUAACAGGCUGAUCUUGCCCAAGAGUCCAUAUCGACGGCAUGGUUUGGCACCUCGAUGUCGGCUCGUCGCAUCCUGGGGCUGGAGUAGGUCCCAAGGGUUGGGCUGUUCGCCCAUUAAAGCGGUACGCGAGCUGGGUUUAGAACGUCGUGAGACAGUUCGGUCCCUAUCCGCUGCGCGCGUAGGAAAUUUGGGAAGAUCUAUCCCUAGUACGAGAGGACCGGGAUGGACGAACCUCUGGUGUGUCAGUUGUUCCGCCAGGAGCACCGCUGAUUAGCUACGUUCGGACCGGAUAACCGCUGAAAGCAUCUAAGCGGGAAGCCGUCUUCAAGAUGAGAUUUCCAUCCCUUAGGGGGAGAGGCUCCCAGCUAGACGACUGGGUUGAUAGGCAGGAUGUGGAAGUGGGGACUAAAGACCCAUGCAGCUGACCUGUACUAAUAAGCCGAUAACUCGAAAAA